CAUGAGGAUUGACCACUGAGUGGCCACCAAGGCAAACACUCUUCGAGUCCGAGACCGUCUAUACGCUUUCGCAUGGAAGCGUUGGUCCCUUCAGUUUCUUCAUCGCUGCUUCUUCCCACACUUCCAAACUCAAACCACACUCUCUUUAAAAUCGUACCCACAAAAUCCCAUCUUCUUAUUUCCCGAAAGAGGUGCACCCAUUUGAAUGGAAAUAGGAGAAUAUCAACAACCAGGAUUCCGGCGAUAAACGAUGUUUCGGCGGCGGCGGCGAGUCCAGCCGGGGUGGAGCUCACCUGGCAAAUAGUUGUCGGCGCAUUAGCUGGAGUUACACCCUUUGUGGUGCCAGGGAUAGAGUUCAGCAAAAGAAUUAUGGCACAGAGAAAAUGUGAGGUAUGUGGAGGGUCAGGGCUUGUUCUCAGAGACAAUAAGUACUAUUUUCGAUGCCCCGGAUGUGGAGGAUUUCUCCCAUGGCAGUCGUGGAAACGAUUCUUUUCUGGUUAGAGCUCGCCUAUUUUUAUGUCAAUAAUACGCAUUACUUCAAUGGCACAAUAUGAAUCCAGGAAAGAUCGCUUAUACAAGAUUAUCAACGUGGACAGCGCAGCCAAUUAUAUGUAAAUCGGUCCGCAUGUACGUAGGGAUAGGCGGCAAGGCUCUACACCCCGUUUGCCCGCCCUCCACAGCUCCACCCCACCCGCAUCUGUGAAAGGCAGUGGGGGCCUGGGCCAGGCCAGGCCCCGCACCUUCCCUGCACCCCAGCCUGCCCCUAUAGCCCAACUUAAAAUACUUGUAAUUAUAUAUAUAUAUAAGUCGUUAAUAAUACAAUGUUGUUUUGGGGUUAGGUUUAACCUAAAUCUAGCCUCCCCUCCCUCAGUAGUCUUUCUUUCUUUCUUUCCCUUCUCUUUCCUCUCUAGUUCUAUCCUCCCCCUCCGUUUACCCCUCGGUUAAACCGAGGUAGAAACCUUUCUAGUGAUAAGUUGUUGCUUGAAGUCUAAUCCCAUUACACGUUACUUUUUGUAUCUAUUAGGAAUAAAUUACCUUUUCUCUCACAAA
Molecule: RNA transcript, 1050 nt
Organism: Carya illinoinensis
Lineage: Eukaryota; Viridiplantae; Streptophyta; Magnoliopsida; Fagales; Juglandaceae
Exons: 5
Source: RefSeq, a predicted model, not a curated record